CGAUUUUUAUCAUUAAGGUUAAUGAUGUAAUUUUGGUUUUUUAAUGUAACCGCCUCUCAUUUAUUUUAGAUUGACCGUAUUUCUUUUUUUUUUUUUUGGCUCAUUUAUUUUAGAUUGAUUGUAUCCUUUUUUUGUGUGUGUAGAUUUAUGAUAUCAUUCAUUAUUUUUUAACUAAGUUUUUCUUAAUUUUCUUCUUUUCGUCUAGUUUUUGUUUAUGUUUCUUAGAACCGUUUGGUAAUUUUAUUACGUUAAUUAUAUAAUUAUAUUUUAAGUACAUGACAUAUUUAAGAAAAUUUAAGGGCUAUGAAAUUCAGAUAUAAACAUUU
This 326-nucleotide long non-coding RNA is filed under the name Salvia miltiorrhiza (redroot sage). Its description in RNAcentral is "long non-coding RNA (SMIL_LNC004116)". The record is from RNAcentral. Lineage: Eukaryota; Viridiplantae; Streptophyta; Magnoliopsida; Lamiales; Lamiaceae.